CUAGAAUUCUGAUAAAAAUGUGUCUUUAUAACCUUAACCCUUGUGCUGUCUUGCCAUCAAGCUAUUCUCUUGACCUUAAGCUCUCUGGAAGAUGUUACUCAAAAUCUGUGGCUUUAGGUUGGCCAAAUCCACUUUAUGCCAUUACCCAACCAUAUCCGAGUGCCUGGAUUAUUUUCUUUAUUCAGAUUUGAUGUUUGGUCCUUUUGGUACUGGGACUUAUCCAUUAGAGCACCC
This is a non-coding RNA of Pelobates cultripes (western spadefoot toad), 234 nucleotides long. NCBI's taxonomy places the organism in Eukaryota, Metazoa, Chordata, Amphibia, Anura, Pelobatidae. The record is from the annotation of a GenBank genome assembly.